RNAcentral lists this ribosomal RNA (699 nucleotides) under Gemella haemolysans. RNAcentral's name for it is "partial 23S ribosomal RNA". It matches the Rfam family "Bacterial large subunit ribosomal RNA", at positions 1551 to 2264 of the family's 2925-position model. The record is from RNAcentral. Lineage: Bacteria; Bacillati; Bacillota; Bacilli; Caryophanales; Gemellaceae.
UAAGACUGAAGUGUGAUGGGGAGCGAAAUAUAGUAGCGAAGUCAAUGAAGCCAAACUCUCAAGAAAAGCCGCUAUCGAGAUAAGAGGUGCCCGUACCGCAAACCGACACAGGUAGUUGGGAAGAGAAUUCUAAGGUGAGCGAGAGAACCAUCGUUAAGGAACUCGGCAAAAUGACCCCGUAACUUCGGGAGAAGGGGUGCCUACGAGAGUAGGCCGCAGUGAAUAGGCCCAAGCGACUGUUUAACAAAAACACAGGUCUCUGCAAAACCGUAAGGUGAAGUAUAGGGGCUGACGCCUGCCCGGUGCUGGAAGGUUAAGAGGAGUGCUUAGCGUAAGCGAAGGUAUGAAUUGAAGCCCCAGUAAACGGCGGCCGUAACUAUAACGGUCCUAAGGUAGCGAAAUUCCUUGUCGGGUAAGUUCCGACCCGCACGAAAGGCGUAACGAUUUGGGCACUGUCUCAACGAUGGACUCGGUGAAAUCAUAGUACCUGUGAAGAUGCAGGUUACCCGCGACAGGACGGAAAGACCCCAUGGAGCUUUACUGUAGCUUGAUAUUGAAUUUUGAUGCAGUAUGUACAGGAUAGGUAGGAGCCAGAGAAUCAUGCACGCCAGUGUAUGAGGAGGCGUUGUUGGGAUACUACCCUUGCUGUAUUGAAAUUCUAACCCUCGGCGUAGAAGACCGGGAGACAGUGUCAGGUGG